Molecule: ribosomal RNA, 975 nt
Filed under: Lecanomerus sp. NLGa NLG-2014
Lineage: Eukaryota; Metazoa; Arthropoda; Insecta; Coleoptera; Carabidae
Description: SSU rRNA
Rfam family: Eukaryotic small subunit ribosomal RNA
Source: RNAcentral
CAAAGAUUAGCCAUGCAUGUCUAAGUACAAACUAUAUUAAAGUGAAACCGCGAAAGGCUCAUUAAAUCAGUUAUGGUUCCUUAGAUCGUACCACAAUUACUUGGAUAACUGUGGUAAUUCUAGAGCUAAUACAUGCAAACAGAGCUCUGACCGGAGACGGAAGGAGUGCUUUUAUUAGAUCAAAACCAAUCGGCUUCAGUAGCAUUCCGGUGUUAUUGUUAGUCGCUCAAUAUAUGGUGAAUCUGAAUAACUUUAUGCUGAUCGCAUGGUCUUGUACCGGCGACGCAUCUUUCAAAUGUCUGCCUUAUCAACUGUCGAUGGUAGGAUCUGCGCCUACCAUGGUUGUAACGGGUAACGGGGAAUCAGGGUUCGAUUCCGGAGAGGGAGCCUGAGAAACGGCUACCACAUCCAAGGAAGGCAGCAGGCGCGCAAAUUACCCACUCCCGGCACGGGGAGGUAGUGACGAAAAAUAACGAUACGGGACUCAUCCGAGGCCCCGUAAUCGGAAUGAGUACACUUUAAAUCCUUUAACGAGGACCAAUUGGAGGGCAAGUCUGGUGCCAGCAGCCGCGGUAAUUCCAGCUCCAAUAGCGUAUAUUAAAGUUGUUGCGGUUAAAAAGCUCGUAGUUGAAUUUGUGUUCCGCACUGUCGGUUCACCGCCCGCGGUGCUAACUGGCAUGUUUGCGGAACGUCCUGCCGGUGGAUGUUCAGUAAGUGGUCUCUGAUUAUUUACACAUCCGACUUAUGAAUCCUGUCGCGGUGCUCUUAACUGAGUGUCGAGGCGGGCCGGCACGUUUACUUUGAACAAAUUAGAGUGCUCAAAGCAGGCUAACUAAUGCCUGAAUAAUUAGUGCAUGGAAUAAUGGAACAGGACCUUGGUUCUAUUUUGUUGGUUUUCGGAACCCCAAGGUAAUGAUUAAUAGGGACAGAUGGGGGCAUUCGUAUUGCGACGUUAGAGGUGAAAUUCUUGGAUCG